RNAcentral lists this ribosomal RNA (492 nucleotides) under uncultured bacterium. RNAcentral describes it as "partial 16S ribosomal RNA". It matches the Rfam family "Bacterial small subunit ribosomal RNA", at positions 29 to 507 of the family's 1533-position model. The record is from RNAcentral.
AGUGAACGCUGGCGGUAGGCCUAACACAUGCAAGUCGAACGGCAGCACAGUAAGAGCUUGCUCCUACGGGUGGCGAGUGGCGGACGGGUGAGGAAUACAUCGGAAUCUACUUUUUCGUGGGGGACAACGUAGGGAAACUUACGCUAAUACCGCAUACGACCUACGGGUGAAAGCAGGGGAUCUUCGGACCUUGCGCGAUUGAAUGAGCCGAUGUCGGAUUAGCUAGUUGGCGGGGUAAAGGCCCACCAAGGCGACGAUCCGUAGCUGGUCUGAGAGGAUGAUCAGCCACACUGGAACUGAGACACGGUCCAGACUCCUACGGGAGGCAGCAGUGGGGAAUAUUGGACAAUGGGCGCAAGCCUGAUCCAGCCAUACCGCGUGGGUGAAGAAGGCCUUCGGGUUGUAAAGCCCUUUUGUUGGGAAAGAAAAGCAGCAGGUUAAUACCCCGCUGUUCUGACGGUACCCAAAGAAUAAGCACCGGCUAACUUCGUG